UCAGACGAUGCGUCAUGCAUAUCAAUAAGCGGAGGAAAAGAAACUAACAAGGAUUCCCUUAGUAACGGCGAGUGAAGCGGGAAGAGCUCAAAUUUGAAAUCUUCAAGGUUUUACCUUGACGAAUUGUAGUUUAAAGAAGUGUUUUCUGUUACGAUCGUAAUAUAAGUUCUUUGGAAUAGGACAUCACAGAGGGUGAGAAUCCCGUCAAUGAUUGCGAUUUGUAGCUUUGUGAUACACUUUCAAAGAGUCGGGUUGUUUGGGAAUGCAGCCCAAAACGGGAGGUAAAUUUCUUCUAAGGCUAAAUAUUGGCGAGAGACCGAUAGCGAACAAGUACCGUGAGGGAAAGAUGAAAAGAACUUUGAAAAGAGAGUUAAAUAGUACGUGAAAUUGUCAAAAGGGAAGCGUUUGACACCAGUGUUGUUUUCUCGAAAAUCAAUUAAAAAUGGCUCGAUUUUGUAUUGCUUGAGACCUUAAAAGCUCACUGUACAUUUUUCGUGUCUUUUUUAAUGCACUUUUCGUUUAACAAGUCAACAUCAGUUUCUUUUGUUGUAAAAGGGUCAUUGGAAGGUGGCUUUCUUUUCGGAGAAAGUGUUUAUAGCCUUUGGCCUCUGCAAUCGGAGAGACUGAGGUCUGCAGCGUAGACUCUUCGGGGUUAGAUACAUUUGUGCCUAAGUUAUAGCAUUUUAUAGACAACUUGUUGACUAUAAUUAGUCUUGUAGCUUACUCGCUUAUGUUAUUUUACCUACGCUUAGGAUGUUGACUGAUAGUGUAGUCGUA
This 777-nucleotide ribosomal RNA is filed under the name uncultured Neocallimastigales. RNAcentral describes it as "partial large subunit ribosomal RNA". It matches the Rfam family "Eukaryotic large subunit ribosomal RNA", at positions 18 to 636 of the family's 3401-position model. Lineage: Eukaryota; Fungi; Neocallimastigomycota; Neocallimastigomycetes; Neocallimastigales. The record is from RNAcentral.